GGAGAUGGCGGGUUAGUUAGGUAGUGAUGUAGGCGGGAGUACAGUUUGCGCCAGUCCGCCAAUAAGAGGAAGAGGGUGUGUCAUAUGCAAAUAACAUUGACCGCCCCUCGGCCCCCUGCAAGCCACGCCCCCUUUCCGAGUUCCCUGCAGAGAUGGUGAGGAGAGAUAUAUAGCUAGAAAGCUAGAGCUCCCUAGAGGGUCUAAGACUGGGCUAAACACUUCCUGAUAUCCUGAAAAAGGGAAUGUAGGGUACAGACUGAAACAUUCCUUCCAUCGAAACAUUGAUUCAGCCUCAGGCAAAACCUAAGCUUAGCUCUACAGAAGACUGCAGGAUUGUAGGACUGCAUCCAGGGAUCUCCAAGAACUUUACGUUAGGCUUGUUGUGCAAAAGACCAUUUACCUGAAGCUUGACAUUCGUAUGGAGGUCUCUAGUGUACCAGGAUUUAUGAAGGCCUGCACUUCACAGAAUGCAUCUGUGAUAAUUUUAAAGACCAUCCUACUGAUCAAAGAGGCCAAAGGGAAUGUGGCAACAGUGGAAGGGCAAGGAGUCAUGCUCCAGCAACUGAUGGAAGCCAUUCAUUUGGCCUGAAGUAAUCUGUGUUUUCUGUGCCUCUGAAUGUGCCAAUUUCAGUGUCUAUGAUGGCAAACUUGUGAGUCUUUGCUAUGUUCGAAACUGAGCACUCCAAGCAAGUAGAUACUUCUGGUAUGCCAAGGAAAGACAGAGAUUACUCCAGCAAAAGUAACCUUCCUGCCAAUCUACAUUAUAAUUCUAAGAGGCAUCUGGUCAAGUUAACCAAGAAAACAUAUUUGAUCAUGGAGGAGCUUAACUGACCCGUUUCACUAUACCUUUUUAUAUCUUGAUAGAACAAUAUGGAUAUGGGUUAUUUUCUUAGAGUACUUGCCACCUGCUUUGUGAUUAUGUUUUUAGUUGGCUUCCUUUUCCACAAGAUUAUAGGCUUCAUGAUGACAAUUUUAUUCAUCAUUCUAUCCUCAAUACAAUAAUUUUGGGGGCAAAGAAAUGAAUUUAAAAAGUCAGCACAAAAAAGUCUUCCAGUCUAUGCCAUAAGAAUAGUGAAUGCUCCUCAGACAGCAAAAAUGUCUGAUGUGAAGAUCUGAGUAUGUGAAAUGAAGCCAGUUUUAGUGAAUUUGUUUUGCUGAAAUGAGAGCAACCUGCAUGUACCUAAGUCACACACAGGAAGCAGAAGAACUGAGGGUCAGGGGACACAUGACCCCACAAUGACUGAAAAGGGAAAAGAGGCAGCUAUUGAGAAGAUGAGAGAAACAUGUAUGCAAAAUGUAUGAAAUCAACUAUGCAUUUUGUGAAGCGUAAGUCACAGUACUGUGUUUUGGACCUGUAGUCACAAAGACUGAGAUAGAAAAUAAAAACCUCCGCUUCUGUGUGCGAGUAAUC
Molecule: long non-coding RNA, 1411 nt
Organism: Heterocephalus glaber (naked mole-rat)
Lineage: Eukaryota; Metazoa; Chordata; Mammalia; Rodentia; Bathyergidae
Source: RefSeq, a predicted model, not a curated record